This 1363-nucleotide long non-coding RNA is filed under the name Apteryx owenii (little spotted kiwi). Its description in RNAcentral is "lncRNA (ENSAOWG00000012201.1)". The record is from RNAcentral. Lineage: Eukaryota; Metazoa; Chordata; Aves; Apterygiformes; Apterygidae.
GGGCUCGGCGUGCUCACGCCUGCGCUGGAGCUGCUCUCCGCUUGGCAGCACGGAUGUCGUCCCAGAGCCCCAGAGAAGCAGGAUGGGCGCAGGGGCUGUGACUCAGCCGUGAUGUUUCCCUGGCAGAUCUCCCCUACCCUGGAGCAUGGGUGCUGCAGCUGCCAAAGGAAUCUCAAGAGCCUGUUGAAACCUUCAAUUAAGCUUCCUGUUGCCUGUUAUUCAAGAUUCAUGGGGGAGGAAACUGAGGCACAGGGAAAUCUGAAGGAUAACAGAGCCACUGUUGAAGCAGCAGAGAGAAACUACUUCUAGCUCAGCUUCCACCACCAAAGAGCCCUGCGUGGAGGGAGAGGAAAGCAAAGUCUGGAUGUGACAUGGCUGAAUUGUCACCCGACCUCCUGAGCAGGUAUGCAAAGAAUACGUAUUUCUGUAUGUAAAAGCAUAAGCAUUAACCCCUGAGAGAAAGGCCAAAAAAUGGUUAAAAUCAGUAUAUUCUAGCUGUCUUGAUGAUCUUUGACUAACUGUUUCAAUUUAGGGAGUCCUGGCUCUCAGAGCACUUCCUGCAUGUCCGUGAGUUAAGCCUUACAAUGCACCAUGUGCUAGAAGAGAAACAUGGUGCAAACCCCAGAGCAACCUCUUGUCGUGAUGUUCCUCAUGAUUUUAUGGGACCAAACCCUUGCUGUUUCUUCCAGAAUUCCAUGUGUCCUUAGCAGUAGAUAUUAGGCAGUGCUAUGAAGGCAUCAUAAGGGAGGGACUGUGAAUCAUAGUGACUGUAAUGGGAAACUGUCCUGCCUACCCAAGGAUAAAUCUGGCUUCUUCAUCUAAGACUUACUUGUUUUAAUCAUAUUCAUCAGCUCUUACCUACAAGCCUGGGCUUUCCUUUCUCCUAAUCCAUUGUGCCAGAACUUCACUUUGAACAUUACUGUGGGAUGCAAGAUUGCUAGAAUUUUGUCCUGCUAACUGCCUCUUUUUGCAAAUGAGUUCCACAGUGCCUUAAGUUUUAAUAAUCUGAACUGGAUAGCCCUGCUGGCAGGACAGCCUAGAUAUUGUUUCCUCACAGCAUGGGGGAUUUACCAGAUGGAAGAACAGUGUUUUCAAUCAGACUUGUAGCUCUGAAGAAGAGAAAUGCCUAAAACAAUCUGAAAGGGAAGAAACUAAAACUCAGCAGCUUCUUAGGUAAAGACAGUAUAAGGAAGUCAUGUUCUUUUGUUUCAACAGUUUGCAGAAACCCCCAAAUCCCAGGGCUUUAUCUCACUUACACCAGGUUGUCUGUAAGUUACUCUGGCAAUGUUCUUGUUUUAAUAAGAGAGGACCGUAAAACAAGAGCAUAUCUAUAAUUUAACCUUUAAUGAAAUCAAUGUUCCGC